This 318-nucleotide unclassified non-coding RNA is filed under the name plant metagenome. Its description in RNAcentral is "partial contains 5.8S ribosomal RNA, internal transcribed spacer 2, and large subunit ribosomal RNA". The stretch from base 1 to 105 matches the Rfam family "5.8S ribosomal RNA", at positions 50 to 154 of the family's 154-position model. The record is from RNAcentral.
GAAAUGCGAUAAGUAAUGUGAAUUGCAGAAUUCCGUGAAUCAUCGAAUCUUUGAACGCACAUUGCGCCCUCUGGUAUUCCGGGGGGCAUGCCUGUCCGAGCGUCAUUACGCACCCCUCAAGCCCGGCUUGCGUGAUGGGCCGCCGCGUCCCGGUGACGGGACGGGCCCGAAAUGCAGUGGCGGCGUCGCGGUGAUCCGAUCGGCCCGAGUGUAUGGGGACUCCGUCACACGCUCGCGGCGCGGACCGACGCCCGCCCCCUCUGAACCUCUCUUCUCGGUUGACCUCGGAUCAGGUAGGGAUACCCGCUGAACUUAAGC